ACCAUUUUUGAUUUUGCAGGUUCGGCACGAAUUUUUAAAAAACUAACCAAAAUACCCUUAUUUCCCUCUCUAUCUCUUUCUCUUUCUCUCUCUCUCUUUUGUUUUCUUGUUCGUCUUUCUCCUCUACUGGUUUGUCUUCCUCCUCCUUGUCGUUUCUUUCUCUUAUUCUCCUUCCCGUUUCCUCUUCCUUUUUCUUUUCCUCCACAACCCCAACAUCUACGUCGCGCUCCACUCUCUUACCCCGGACACAUCUCCACCGAUGCUGGCUCAAAUAUGAUAUAGAUUACAUGAGGUGAGCUAAGCAUAUGGUUGUGGAUGGCGACGGUGAUGAGCGUAGUGAAGGAUUUAAGAUGAUUGGGUGGGAGAGCGCGUCUGGCGGGGGCGGUGGCUGCGGUAGAGGGUGAGGGAGAGGACGCGAUAGCAAAAAAAGAUACAAAAU
RNAcentral lists this long non-coding RNA (439 nucleotides) under Ananas comosus (pineapple). RNAcentral's name for it is "long non-coding RNA (ACOM_LNC020970)". Lineage: Eukaryota; Viridiplantae; Streptophyta; Magnoliopsida; Poales; Bromeliaceae. The record is from RNAcentral.